This 409-nucleotide ribosomal RNA is filed under the name uncultured bacterium. RNAcentral's name for it is "bacterial SSU rRNA". It matches the Rfam family "Bacterial small subunit ribosomal RNA", at positions 29 to 431 of the family's 1533-position model. The record is from RNAcentral.
AUUGAACGCUGGCGGCAUGCUUUACACAUGCAAGUCGAACGGCAGCACGGGGGCAACCCUGGUGGCGAGUGGCGAACGGGUGAGUAACACAUCGGAACGUGCCCAGUUGUGGGGGAUAACCUAUCGAAAGGUAGGCUAAUACCGCAUGAGCUCGGCAAGAGGAAAGCGGGGGACUCAGCGAUGGGCCUCGCGCGACUGGAGCGGCCGAUGUCCGAUUAGCUAGUUGGUGGGGUAAAGGCUUACCAAGGCGACGAUCGGUAGCUGGUCUGAGAGGAUGAUCAGCCACACUGGGACUGAGACACGGGCCCCAGACUCCUACGGGAGGCAGCAGUAGGGAAUAUUGGACAAUGGGUGCAAGCCUGAUCCAGCCAUGCCGCGUGCAGGAAGAAAGCCUUCUGGGUUGUAAACU